UCAGGAUGAACGCUGGCGGCGUGCUUAACACGUGCAAGUCGAACGGGAAUGCCACGCUGAUGCGAUUUCGGUCAAAUCAUGUGGCAUUCGAGUGGCGGACGGGUGAGUAACGCGUGGGUAACCUGCCUUACACAGGGGGAUAACACCUGGAAACAGGUGCUAAUACCGCAUAAGCGCACAGGGCCGCAUGGCCCGGUGUGAAAAACUCCGGUGGUGUAAGAUGGACCCGCGUCUGAUUAGCUUGUUGGCGGGGUAGGGGCCCACCAAGGCGACGAUCAGUAGCCGGCCUGAGAGGGUGGACGGCCACAUUGGGACUGAGACACGGCCCAAACUCCUACGGGAGGCAGCAGUGGGGGAUAUUGGACAAUGGGGGAAACCCUGAUCCAGCGACGCCGCGUGAGUGAAGAAGUAUUUCGGUAUGUAAAGCUCUGUCAGCAGGGAAGAAAGAAAUGACGGUACCUGACCAAGAAGCCCCGGCUAUCUACGUGCCAGCAGCCGCGGUAAUACGUA
This 510-nucleotide ribosomal RNA is filed under the name uncultured bacterium. RNAcentral's name for it is "bacterial SSU rRNA". It matches the Rfam family "Bacterial small subunit ribosomal RNA", at positions 24 to 529 of the family's 1533-position model. The record is from RNAcentral.